GAUGAAGAACGUAGCGAAAUGCGAUACGUAAUGUGAAUUGCAGAAUUCAGUGAAUCAUCGAGUCUUUGAACGCACAUUGCGCCCGCCAGUAUUCUGGCGGGCAUGCCUGUCCGAGCGUCAUUUCAACCCUCGAACCCCUCCGGGGGGUCGGCGUUGGGGAUCGGCCCUUUACGGGGCCGGCCCCGAAAUACAGUGGCGGUCUCGCCGCAGCCUCUCCUGCGCAGUAGUUUGCACACUCGCAUCGGGAGCGCGGCGCGUCCAAUGCCGUAAAACACCCAACUUUCUGAAAUGUUGACCUCGGAUCAGGUAGGAAUACCCGCUGAACUUAAGCAUAUCAAUAAGCGGAGGA
RNAcentral lists this unclassified non-coding RNA (349 nucleotides) under soil metagenome. RNAcentral describes it as "partial contains 5.8S ribosomal RNA, internal transcribed spacer 2, and large subunit ribosomal RNA". The stretch from base 1 to 120 matches the Rfam family "5.8S ribosomal RNA", at positions 35 to 154 of the family's 154-position model. The record is from RNAcentral.